This 478-nucleotide ribosomal RNA is filed under the name uncultured bacterium. RNAcentral describes it as "partial 16S ribosomal RNA". It matches the Rfam family "Bacterial small subunit ribosomal RNA", at positions 28 to 523 of the family's 1533-position model. The record is from RNAcentral.
GACGAACGCUGGCGGCGUGCUUAACACAUACAAGUCGGACGGUAAGGCCCUUCGGGGUACACGAGUGGCGAACGGGUGAGUAACACGUGGGUGAUCUGCCCUGCACUUCGGGAUAAGCCUGGGAAACUGGGUCUAAUACCGGAUAGGACCACUGCCUGCAUGGGUGGUGGUGGAAAGCUUUUGCGGUGUGGGAUGGGCCCGCGGCCUAUCAGCUUGUUGGUGGGGUGAUGGCCUACCAAGGCGACGACGGGUAGCCGGCCUGAGAGGGUGACCGGCCACACUGGGACUGAGAUACGGCCCAGACUCCUACGGGAGGCAGCAGUGGGGAAUAUUGCACAAUGGGCGCAAGCCUGAUGCAGCGACGCCGCGUGAGGGAUGACGGCCUUCGGGUUGUAAACCUCUUUCAGCACCGACGAAGCGCAAGUGACGGUAGGUGCAGAAGAAGGACCGGCCAACUACGUGCCAGCCGCCGCAGUAA